AGCUUUCCGAAUCCAUUCAAAGAUUUCACCAGACACCAACCCACUAGGGCUGAUCAGACUUCCAAGAUAUGUGAAGUU
Molecule: non-coding RNA, 78 nt
Organism: Schistosoma mattheei
Lineage: Eukaryota; Metazoa; Platyhelminthes; Trematoda; Strigeidida; Schistosomatidae
Source: Rfam